GGACUGACCCCCCUCCCGUGCCGCAGUCAACACAAUAAGUAAUCCACCUGGGGAGUACGGCCGCAAGGUUGAAACUCAAAGGAAUUGACGGGGGCCCGCACAAGCAGUGGAGUAUGUGGUUUAAUUCGAAGCAACGCGAAGAACCUUACCAGGUCUUGACAUCCGGUGCAUAGCUUAGAGAUAAGUGAAGUCCUUCGGGACACCGAGACAGGUGGUGCAUGGUUGUCGUCAGCUCGUGUCGUGAGAUGUUGGGUUAAGUCCCGCAACGAGCGCAACCCUUAUCCUUAGUAGCCAGCAUUACGGAUGGGCACUCUAGGGAGACUGCCAGGGACAACCUGGAGGAAGGUGGGGAUGACGUCAAAUCAUCAUGCCCCUUAUGACCAGGGCUACACACGUGCUACAAUGGCGUAAACAAAGGGAAGCGAAGGAGUGAUCCGGAGCAAAUCUCAAAAAUAACGUCUCAGUUCGGAUUGUAGUCUGCAACUCGACUACAUGAAGCUGGAAUCGCUAGUAAUCGCGAAUCAGCAUGUCGCGGUGAAUACGUUCCCGGGUCUUGUACACACCGCCCGUCACACCAUGGGAGUCAGUAACGCCCGAAGCCGGUGACCCAACCUACAAGGAGGGAGCCGUCGAAGGCGGGACCGAUAACUGGGGUGAA
This 658-nucleotide ribosomal RNA is filed under the name uncultured bacterium. Its description in RNAcentral is "bacterial SSU rRNA". It matches the Rfam family "Bacterial small subunit ribosomal RNA", at positions 829 to 1484 of the family's 1533-position model. The record is from RNAcentral.